This 76-nucleotide transfer RNA is filed under the name Thiothrix sp. RNAcentral describes it as "tRNA-Lys". It matches the Rfam family "tRNA". Rfam says of the family: Transfer RNA (tRNA) molecules are approximately 80 nucleotides in length. Their secondary structure includes four short double-helical elements and three loops (D, anti-codon, and T loops). Further hydrogen bonds mediate the characteristic L-shaped molecular structure. tRNAs have two regions of fundamental functional importance: the anti-codon, which is responsible for specific mRNA codon recognition, and the 3' end, to which the tRNAs corresponding amino acid is attached (by aminoacyl-tRNA synthetases). tRNAs cope with the degeneracy of the genetic code in two manners: having more than one tRNA (with a specific anti-codon) for a particular amino acid; and 'wobble' base-pairing, i.e. permitting non-standard base-pairing at the 3rd anti-codon position. Lineage: Bacteria; Pseudomonadati; Pseudomonadota; Gammaproteobacteria; Thiotrichales; Thiotrichaceae. The record is from RNAcentral.
GGAUAUGUAAUUCAAUCGGUAGAAUACCCGACUUUUAAUCGGGCGGCUGAGAGUUCGAGUCUCUCCAUAUCCACCA